GUAUGAAGAGUCCCAACCAACUCACCUAACGCAGAUGCCAAACCUGAUCAGAUAGGUAGCUUUUUAGACUGCUGGUCAUAGUGGUAACUUAGACCCACCUGACACAAAUGUUUACAUUCCCUAACCUGUUCUCUUCCACUGAGGAACAGUUCAACUGCCAAAUCUACCAUCAUUCAGGCUUUCAGAUGAGGCAGAAUCUAUAUAAGCCCAGUGCUGUUCUUCCUAAAGUCCCAGAAGUGGCAGUGGACUUUUGUGUACAGGGAACUGAAUCAUACCCUGACUCUCUGGGAAGGCAAGGAUUUAGUUGUGUCCAGUUGGAUUCCAAAAGCUCCCUCUCUACUCUUGUAUAAAGAACACUGUCAGUAAUAAAUGACCAAAGUACACACUGGGAAACAUUCAAGGUAUGAUAUUUUUUAUAGUCAGACUAUAUUGUAUUUCUGACAUUUCAAGUUCAUUAACUGAUAGGUUUAAAGUAUAAUUAUAAGCAAGUACUGAGGACUGUCAGAAUCUGAUUUGUGGAUUGAAUAGUAGGUGUGAAUCUCAAACUAAUGUGGUUUAUUUAUCUGCAAUCACAGGCUGUUCCAGCCAAAGGUCUGCUAAAUUAGUAGUCUGGGCCAGUGCUGGGUACAGUAUGUCCUAUCUCCUUCUACUGAUUCAGGUAUGUAGUUCUAUUUUUAACUAAAUAAAUAUCAAUAAGUGAAAACACCAAUGCCAGCAGAUAUUGCUUGUGUUCAAAGGAAAGCUGUAUUCUUCUUCACUCACUAUGAAAUACUCGAUUUCUCCUGGCAGAAUCUCUGUUUUCCACAAACACUGAAUUAUCUGCAAUAAAACACAUUCUGUCGGGACAGAUCAAAGACAAUACAUUUAUUAAACUUCGAGGAAAACAAACAAAACACUGACAUAAGGAAAGUUAAAUAGAAACUGAAAGACACAUCUUCUGACCGGCGAAUAAUGGCUUGUGUGACCAGUAAAGUACCAAAAUGACAUUCUGAGUUUGAUUGAGGUAUUUAACUAUUUUUGGCAAUAGAAACAGAGUAAGAAACUUUUUCCAAACAAACAUAGGCUUUACUUGCAUUAGUGUCUAUCAUCUAUGAAAUUUUAUAUGUAACUAAAUAAUGUAGCUGUUAGAAAAAUAUAGCAGCAAAUUAGCAGAAUACCUAAUGCACAUUUACCAUAGAGUACGUUCUGAACGUAAAAAUCCCACCCAAUGUUUGGGCUCAGUCCUGUAGCCCUUGGUCACAAAGAGAGCAUCAGUGAGUUCAGUGGGAGACAUCAUGAGCAAGAUCUGCAUUCACUGCACGUCAUGCACUUCUGUUCACGUCAGAGAAAGGCAAUGAACAUCCCCAUUUGCUUUAUCAGAAGAACCCUGAUAUGAUGCAGCUAUAGCCUAAUAAGGUAACUUCUGAAGCAAUAAAAACUCAUUGCAAAGCUCUGUCAAGUUCUUUAUAUACUUAAGAAUAAAGAGAACUUUCCCACUUGGUUUUGGUUUUCUCACCUCCUUUCUUUCCUAAGAAGUCUGCCUAGCUCAGUCAGAGGAGAUGCUGUUAGGCAAAGAGGAAAAAUCCUUUUUAACAACACCGUAUUCAAUUCCUGUGUUUCGUUGAAGCCUUUAAAUCUAUUUGUAGCUUAAAAAAUCAACUGCUGGCCAAAUCCUGAAGUCCUUAUUUUCUUAAUCAAUAUUUCAUGUGUCACUGUCUAAUAACUGUAGUGGUAGCUUGUCCAUUGGAGGGCUUCAGAAGUUGGUCAAAUACGAAAAGAUUAUGCUGCUAAAUCACCAGAGCUUAUUCAUGUGUUUUCAAAAAUUUUCAAUGAAAGUGUACUUCCAUACUACUUAAUACUGUGGUCAUUGAAACCUUGCUUUAAAAAAGUAUAUUAUCAUUAACCAGAAUUUGAUGAAGAACAGAAAUUUUUGUCCAAAUAUUUUGUAUAGUUUAAAGUUUUCUACAAAACUUUAAAUUUCAUGUCUAUUUCUAUAUUAGUUACCAUAAGAAAGCAACAGGAUCGAUUACUCUAAGUUCCUAAAAUAUUUCAAAAUUUCUCGACAGAUUUCUUUGGAGGUAUAAAAUGGCUCUGUAAAAUCUGUUUUUAAUUUUUGCUGCAAACAAAACUCUUAUAAAACAGAAAACUCCUUUUCAAGACUGCAGUGCUUACAUUCCUUGGAUGGGCCAUCAUAAUUAAACUACAUCAUGUAGUGUAAUAUAAAACAUCUAAGCUUUUGUGACUAAAAUAUUAAAAUAUAUUUUAUUAAUUUAUAUAGAUCAAAAUAGAUAUUUUAUUCAAACUAUUUUUGUGUUUUUUUUUUCACUUUCAUGCUCAGUUCCCAAUUACUGAUAGAAAGAUCUCCGUCAACUGCAUGAUUUUUACUAAGUUCUCAGAUUUUAGACCACCUUAUCUAUAGCUUUAUCAAAAAGCAUGAUUUACUGUACAUUAAACAUAGUCAUUUCAAUGUUUAGUAUCACAAAAAUCAACACCCACAAGAACAAGACAGUCACAGCUAGUUAAGCAGUCUCAAGACAAAUUCAUAGAUAAUAUUUACAGAACAAGAGGAAUAUUUUGAUGAAUAUUUUAUGUUUCAACAAUCGAGAUAAACUUGUAAGAACCACGACAAACGUUUAGACUUCAUUUUGGUUUCAGCACACAAGCCCAAGCUGACUCUGCUGUGAAAUACUGCAAACAUCUAGUCAAAGAAUUGCUACGGCAUGAUUUUGUUCAGCUGGUCUGUGCUCACAUAGCCACAAGACAUGUUAAAUUCUUUCUCUGGCACAGGCAGUGCAGUUGCAUUGAGCACAAGGCCUUGUGGAGAGUGAACAAUAUGAAUAGAAGUGUAGUCUGGGACAGGCAUUUCCAUACUUGGGGUUUCUGCCAUUGAAGCUCCAAGAUUGAUACCGGUAGUGGUAAGGCUUUCUGUGGUGAAGUAAGUGUCCUCGUUACAGCUUUGCUCCUGAACACGCGGCUCAUCCUCUUCCUGUGAAAUCACAGCAAUACAUUUUUUCACAUCUGCCUCACAGAAAUAGGCAUUGUCCAUGGUGAAGUUUUGUUCUGUGCAGCUUUCACACUGUGCUCUUCCCACCUUGGAUUUCUGCCCUGGAGAAAGUACAACACUUCCAGCAGGAGUAAUAUCACUCACUUGAGCAUAGAAGUCAGUGUUUGUCAGGGAAUUCUGGUUACUUAGCUGAGUUUGGACUGAUGGAUUAGCUGAGUCAGUGCUGUCUGCAAAAGGUGGCCAUGACUCUCUGCUUUCAGACUGAGUACUAGUAUGCGGCUGUUGGGUAUCUGUGUUGGCAAGACUUUGAAGUGCCUCAACAUCAUCUUUCCUAUGAAGGCACAAGAGAUCCUCUUCUUUUUCAGUUACCUUCUUGAACUGAUCAAUAUCAGAGAUGGCAUCACAUGUGUCGCUUGCACUGAAGUCUGUCUCUGGAAUAUCUGGUUCAUAACAACUGGCACGUCCAGAAUCAUCAUCCUUGGCUCCCAAGCAACUGUGUGACUUCAGAUGAUCGUCACUCAGGAGCCUGUCAGUAUCUGAGACUCUGUUCUUUUCAUCGGAGUCAUCUAUGUCCAAUUCAAUAAACUCAACCCACAAGUCAUCAUUGUAUAGCUGUGUCUUGUAGUUGUCAUGGCUGGCUAAGAUGGAGUUCACUUCAUCUAGCUUUCCUUCCUUUAAGAGAUCUGGGUCAAUCCCUUUAAUCUUUGGAACUGGCACAGGAGGAAAAAUCAGCAUUUUUAACCUUGGCUGUUUAGACAACAGGAUUAAGAUCGCUGUUACGGCCAGCCCACACACUCCGAAGACAACAACUAAGAACCAGGGAAACUCGAUUUCUGGAAACACAGAACAGAAACAUUAGCAAGAAUCUGCAUCUCUGUUGCAUCUUUAACUUACACCUUCUCUGCAGCCACCUGAGAAUUCCAAAGUCAGAAAAACUGAUAGGAAAAUUUUAGGUUACAUCAACGUGAAAGUUCUGUAGCAAGAAGAAAUAAAAACACUCUUUGACAUCAAUAGUUUCUGUGCUGCAUUUGUGAGUCCACUGAGACUGCUUGCAAAGAGUCUGAACUUUUUGAUAUGAGCAAGAUCAUAGCACAGACAAUAUAUAUGGCAAAAGCAGACAGAAGGAAAAUUCUGCCAGCCAGGAACAUGCUACCAAGUAGUUGUCCCCUUUGUAGUCCGUGUAACUGCUUCUGUUAGUCCAAGUAGAGAACCUUAUUAACAGUGUGUAUCUCUGCUAAAUCAAGGGCGCCAUAUUGGCAUCAAAAACAUCAACACCACUUCUUCUAAAGGCAGAACAUGAAUUGCGUUGUGAGCUGUACCAAUUGUAAAAAAAAAAAAAAAAAAAAAAAAAAGA
This 4337-nucleotide non-coding RNA is filed under the name Gallus gallus (chicken). Lineage: Eukaryota; Metazoa; Chordata; Aves; Galliformes; Phasianidae. The record is from RNAcentral.